This 441-nucleotide ribosomal RNA is filed under the name uncultured bacterium. Its description in RNAcentral is "partial 16S ribosomal RNA". It matches the Rfam family "Bacterial small subunit ribosomal RNA", at positions 338 to 795 of the family's 1533-position model. The record is from RNAcentral.
CCUACGAGAGGCAGCAGUGGGGAAUAUUGCACAAUGGGGGAAACCCUGAUGCAGCGACGCCGCGUGAGUGAAGAAGUAUUUCGGUAUGUAAAGCUCUAUCAGCAGGGAAGAAAAAAGACGGUACCUGACUAAGAAGCCCCGGCUAACUACGUGCCAGCAGCCGCGGUAAUACGUAGGGGGCAAGCGUUAUCCGGAUUUACUGGGUGGAAAGGGAGCGUAGACGGCGCGGCAAGUCUGAAGUGAAAGGCAGGGGCUUAACCCCUGAACUGCUUUGGAAACUGCCAUGCUAGAGUGCUGGAGAGGUAAGUGGAAUUCCUAGUGUAGCGGUGAAAUGCGUAGAUAUUAGGAGGAACACCAGUGGCGAAGGCGGCUUACUGGACAGUAACUGACGUUGAGGCUCGAAAGCGUGGGGAGCAAACAGGAUUAGAUACCCCAGUAGUC